AACUAGUUCAGCUGCCAUUUAACCUGAAAGCAUACAUGUUAGAUAUCCAUUUCCCAAUAACUUAGGUUGGAUUAAUGUCAACCUUGAGCAAAAACACAAAAUCCAAAUGUUUGUAUUCUAUUGUAUUUUUUUUUAUAGGCGUUUGUAUUCUAUUGUUAAAUGCCCCAAAAUUCCACGGUUUCAUCCUCAAACUAGAUAUAAGUUCUUAAGUAGCUCAAAUUUCAUGUGCAGCAAGUUCAGUGCAGAGAACAGGUAAAGAGGAGAGAAAAGAAUAUUGAAAACAGAAAUUCACCUUGCAAAAGUCCUCGAGAAAUAGGAUAGAAUUCCAGGAAUACAAUUCAUCCUUUUUUUUUUUUCGCUCUUAAAGAAAUCCAAUUUUUUAUAUAUAAACAAGUUGAAAUUAAGCGAAAAAUCCCCCUUGAAAUACGAAUUUUGGAAGAGGAGAUAUUGAUUCAAAUUCAAUUCCUAUUUUAUUUCCAAAGCAAACCAAAUAUGCCCUAAAAUUUGUAGAGAUUUUUUGUAAAGAUGAUUUUUUUUGUUUUUUUAAUAGCAAAGUCCAUGAAGACUUAAUAGUAUGUACUUCCUGAAUGACUUCCUAAAAAGGAAGUAUGCCAUAUCUCAUGGAUUACAUGUAAACAAGUUUAUUACCACCGUAUUUACAAUUAAUUCAGCUAAACUUCGUCAAGAAAAAGUUAUCAUUUUUAAAUACAUGCAUGUGUAUGAAGCUGAGAAUAGGAUUAUAUACCAAGACCAAUGUUCUACAUGAUUUACAGACAAUAAAGAACUAAAAAGAUGCUAGUAACAGUUCAUAAAAUACCAUUAAAGACAACAAAAAUUGCACUAGCCAAUAAAAGCAUAAAACAUGAUAACCCAUGAAGAAAUCAUGUUCAUUCAGGCUCACAACUCCCAAGAGGAUCAAGCAAGCUGACUACAAGAAAAGCAUACACAUAGAAGCAGAG
This 959-nucleotide unclassified non-coding RNA is filed under the name Hevea brasiliensis (rubber tree). Lineage: Eukaryota; Viridiplantae; Streptophyta; Magnoliopsida; Malpighiales; Euphorbiaceae. The record is from RNAcentral.